Molecule: ribosomal RNA, 490 nt
Filed under: uncultured bacterium
Lineage: Bacteria
Description: partial 16S ribosomal RNA
Rfam family: Bacterial small subunit ribosomal RNA
Source: RNAcentral
GAUGAACGCUAGCGAUAGGCUUAACACAUGCAAGUCGAGGGGCAGCAUGGUCUUAGCUUGCUAAGACUGAUGGCGACCGGCGCACGGGUGCGUAACGCGUAUGCAACUUGCCUCACAGAGGGGGAUAACCCGUCGAAAGACGGACUAAUACCGCGUACACUUGGGAUAGGGCAUCCUGACCCAAGGAAAUGAAAUUCGCUGUGAGAUAGGCAUGCGUCCCAUUAGCUAGUUGGUGAGGUAACGGCUCACCAAGGCGACGAUGGGUAGGGGAACUGAGAGGGUGAACCCCCACACUGGUACUGAGACACGGACCAGACUCCUACGGGAGGCAGCAGUGAGGAAUAUUGGUCAAUGGGCGAGAGCCUGAACCAGCCAAGUCGCGUGAAGGAUGACUGUCUUAUGGAUUGUAAACUUCUUUUAUACGGGAAUAACAAGAGUCACGUGUGGCUCCCUGCAUGUACCGUAUGAAUAAGCAUCGGCUAACUCCGUG